Molecule: long non-coding RNA, 125 nt
Organism: Maniola jurtina (meadow brown)
Lineage: Eukaryota; Metazoa; Arthropoda; Insecta; Lepidoptera; Nymphalidae
Exons: 3
Source: RefSeq, a predicted model, not a curated record
UGUUUGUUGGUAUGCUUGUUUGUUGGCUUGUCUACAAUUACGCCGCAACAAAGCAACGGAUUGAGUGAUUUUUGCAUGGAUAUACUUACCUUAUUAUAGAAUCUGGAGAGUGACAUAAGGUACUU